GAUGAACGCUGGCGGCGUGCCUAAUACAUGCAAGUCGAACGAACAGACGACGAGCUUGCUCCUCACACGUUAGCGGCGGGCGUGUGAGUAACACGUGGAUAACCUACUUAUAAGCCUGGGAUAACUUCGGGAAACCGGAGCUAAUAGCGGAUAACAUGUUGAAGCGUAUGGUUGAGGAGAGAAAUACGGUCUUGCUGUAACUUAUAGACUGUCCCGCGCGGCGUUAGGUAGUUGGUAAGGUAACGGUUUACCAAGGCCACGAUGGGUAGGCGACGGGAGAGAGUGAUCGGCCACACUGGAACUGAGACACGGACCAGACUACUACGGGAGGCAGCAGUAGGGAAUGUGACGCAAUGGGCGGAAGUCUGGCGGAGUAACGGCGAGUGAGUGGAGAAGGUCUUGGGAGCGUAAAGAUCGCUUACGAGGGAAAAACAAAUGUGUAUGGAACUGUGCACCUAUUGACGGUACCUAGUCAGAAAGCCACGGCUAACUACGUG
RNAcentral lists this ribosomal RNA (497 nucleotides) under uncultured bacterium. RNAcentral's name for it is "partial 16S ribosomal RNA". It matches the Rfam family "Bacterial small subunit ribosomal RNA", at positions 28 to 507 of the family's 1533-position model. The record is from RNAcentral.